GUCUUUUAAUUGAAGGCUGGUAUGAAUGGUUGGAUGAAAAAUAUACUUUCUUUAUUUUAUAAAAAUAAAUUAACUUUUUAGUCAAAAGGCUAAGAUUUUAUUAGAGGACGAGAAGACCCUAUAGAACUUUAUUUUCUUUUUAUAUAACUUUUUUAGUUUUUAAUAAGUUUAUAUAUUUAUGUUAAUUAUGUUGGGGUGACAGAAAAAAUAAUAUAACUUUUUCUAUUUUUUUCAUUUAUUUAUGUUUUUUUGAUCCUACAUUAUGGAUAAUAAGAUUAAGUUACCUUAGGGAUAACAGCGUUAUUUUCUUAAAGAGUUCUUAUCGAUAAGAAAGUUUGCGACCUCGAUGUUGGAUUAAAAUAAGUGAUAGGAGCAGAAUAUUAUUUACUAGGUCUGUUCGACCUUUGAAUUUUUACAUGAUCUAGUUUCAACCCGG
This 436-nucleotide ribosomal RNA is filed under the name Lygus lineolaris (tarnished plant bug). RNAcentral describes it as "partial small subunit ribosomal RNA". The stretch from base 291 to 436 matches the Rfam family "Bacterial large subunit ribosomal RNA", at positions 2473 to 2619 of the family's 2925-position model. Lineage: Eukaryota; Metazoa; Arthropoda; Insecta; Hemiptera; Miridae. The record is from RNAcentral.